Molecule: long non-coding RNA, 1846 nt
Organism: Osmerus eperlanus (European smelt)
Lineage: Eukaryota; Metazoa; Chordata; Actinopteri; Osmeriformes; Osmeridae
Exons: 2
Source: RefSeq, a predicted model, not a curated record
GUGGAACAGCAACUGUACAAUCGACUUUGUUAGCCUUUUUUUGAUAUAUAUAUAUAUAUAUAUAUAUGAUUGUGUUACUACUAAAUAGUCGUGUAAUCGUGGCUAUAAUUCACACUGCUGUUGACAUGAAUCUGUUUUUAUGGUCAUUAUGUCCUUCUUCCCCACCAUCCCUGAUGGAAGCCCCUCUCUCUUUUAGCAUUCCUUGGUUGUCCUGCUAGCCUGCUGCUGCUGCUGUUGUUUUUAAAGUUAAUCCUUUACCGAGACCUGCCUUGUGGAUAGUACAGUUGAUCAAAUUGGAGUCUCUCCAUCUCUCUCCCCCCUUAAAUGUAUUCACCCUCCUCCUCCAGGAGGACUGGGGCCAAAGUGAACAACAGGGAGAAACAAAAACGACAGUUUACCAUGGGGUGAGAACCCCGCACCCCCUCUGCUGCCUUAUACAGAACUAAAAAAAAAAAAAAAAAAAACAACGAAUACCUGGCUUGUUCUGACUGGAGUAGUUACUAAGCUUGCAUGCCUCCUAGCUGUGUGCAGAGUAUAUCAAGCAGGGCUGGCCGUAAAGUAGUCUCAACCAAGGGCUAACUACUAGUAGUGCUGUCAACCUCGUUAGCCCUCAACUAGCGUAAACACCCGUCUGUAACUUCUGUAGGUUACUUAGACGCUGCUUGCUGUUAUAACCCUCCCUACCUAGUUACCAACUGGUCACUUUCUGUAGGGCGUCACCAAUGGUAUAAUUUGUAAUCAGCUGAUGAUAUUUACCACUGGUUCUCGUUUCCUUCACCAAACCCUAGUCAGCAUUGAUUAAACCAUGGCACUUAUAUUUUCCUUAGCCAUGAGGCCUUAUCGCAGACUUUAAAGUGUUUAAAAAAAGAAUUUAACGCUUAUUUCAUUUAUUUUUUGUUGCCUUAACAUGCUAUACAUCUGUCUGCUGAGGCAGAAUACCCAUGCUCCCCCACUCAUUCAGAUUGUGUUGUGACCCCCAGCCUGCUACAGGAGGUCACAUGUCAUAGUAGUGUCCAAUAGCAGAGAAGGCACAGGCCUGGUGGAUGACACGCCGUCCGCUGAUGGAGACAUUGACGGUGUUCAGCUACAGUCGAGGUCGGCCAGGUGAUGGUGUUUAGGUGUUUUAGCUACAUCGAGGUCGGCCAGGUGACGGUGUUUAGGUGUUUAGCUACAGUCGAGGUCGGCCAGGUGACGGUGUUUAGGUGUUCAGCUACAGUCGAGGUCGGCCAGGUGACGGUGUUUAGGUGUUUAGCUACAGUCGAGGUCGGCCAGGUGACGGUGUUUAGGUGUUCAGCUACAGUCGAGGUCGGCCAGGUGACGGUGUUUAGGUGUUUAGCUACAGUCGAGGUCGGCCAGGUGACGGUGUUUAGGUGUUUAGCUACAGUCGAGGUCGGCCAGGAUUCUGUCAGUGGGGAGGGGGGGGGGGGUUCAGACUCAAACCUCGGUGGCCAGCCUUCAACCAACUACACUUCUAAAGGAAAUGGCGAGUUAAUGGCGAUGCAUACAAAAAAACUAAAAAGCUUAAGGUCAAGUUUGCACAAUGUGGAGUGGUCGUUCACCAGAAAAAAGGCGUGAUUGAUCAUGUUCGUGUGCGAACGGGGAGGGGUUCUGAAACGGUGUGAACGGAGCUGACCUGAUGAGUGAAACUGUACUGUACCAGACAGAGCAAAUGGAUGUAAAAGUGUGUUUCCCAUGUCGUGAAUGAUCUUGAUGCUGUUCCAUACAUUCCUUCACAUUGUACAGUUUCUAUGAAAAUGCUGGCAUGCUGGUGGGGUUGUGUAUUUGAUCAUUUGUGAUUGCUCUUCUUGGUCAAUAAAGAUUUUGCUUAACUUGGCCUGAAAUGAAA